This 479-nucleotide ribosomal RNA is filed under the name uncultured bacterium. Its description in RNAcentral is "bacterial SSU rRNA". It matches the Rfam family "Bacterial small subunit ribosomal RNA", at positions 26 to 518 of the family's 1533-position model. The record is from RNAcentral.
AGGACGAACGCUGGCGGCGUGCUUAACACAUGCAAGUCGAGCGGAAAGGCCCUUCGGGGUACUCGAGCGGCGAACGGGUGAGUAACACGUGAGUAAUCUGCCCCCUAGCUCUGGGAUAGCUCCGGGAAACCGGGAUUAAUACCGGAUACGACCACCUUAGACAUCUUUUUGUGGUGGAAAGAAUUUCGGCUAGGGAUGAGCUCGCGGCCUAUCAGCUUGUUGGUGGGGUAACGGCCUACCCAAGGCGACGACGGGUAGCCGGCCUGAGAGGGCGACCGGCCACACUGGGACUGAGACACGGCCCAGACUCCUACGGGAGGCAGCAGUGGGGAAUAUUGCGCAAUGGGCGAAAGCCUGAACCGCAGCGACGCCGCGUGGGGGAUGAAGGCCUUCGGGUUGUAAACCCCUUUCAGCAGGGACGAAGCGAAAGUGACGGUACCUGCAGAAGAAGCGCCGGCUAACUACGUGCCAGCCGCCGC